RNAcentral lists this long non-coding RNA (3005 nucleotides) under Sarcophilus harrisii (Tasmanian devil). RNAcentral describes it as "lncRNA (ENSSHAG00000022688.1)". Lineage: Eukaryota; Metazoa; Chordata; Mammalia; Dasyuromorphia; Dasyuridae. The record is from RNAcentral.
AGAAAGAUGAAAGUAAAUUAAAUAUGGCUUUGUUCACUAAAAUAAAAAAGAAAAGAUAUAAACUCAUUUCAAAGAUUUUCAACCCAAAAUAUUAAGCUGAAGUAUGCUUUGAUGAAAGGCAAAUGCUUACUUACCUAACAGGUUAAUUAUAUUAUAACCAAAUUAUAGCCAGAACUUAUACUCGGGCAUAACUUCAACAGUCUAUUUUUCUUCAUGAGAAGCAAAAAACUUUAAGAUUUUCUAAUAUAAUACCAUACAGAUAAGAAAUGAGGCUAAGAAUGGCAACUUUUAAGAUGCUAAACCAAAGGUUAUGUUUCUUUAGUCUUUUUUGCCAUAGUAAAAUAUUUUAAGUUUUUACAAAAAGUCAAAUAUAAUUUUUUCCUAGACAGCUCAUUAAAAAUUAUAAUAUGCAUCAUUCUUAACUUAAGAAUGGUUUCAAAGUCUUUUAUUUCAGGGUGCAAGGCACUUUUGGAAGUGAAUGAAGCAUUUCAAGCAAGAGAAUGCAUGUACUCUAGGCUUAAUAAUUAUUAAAUCCCCAAGAUUUUUAUUGGCAAGACCAUCUGGGCAAGAGCAAAAGACCCUCAUAUAUUCCCACUUGAUAUAAUUACAAAAACUUUGCCCAACUAGGAAUGACGUACCCUAUACAUAUCAAAAUUUAAAUUAUGUCAGAAAAACAAUACUUAAAAGAGAUGAAAGGUGCCCUUAUCAUUGUAGGACCCUAAAAGUUUUGAUAAACAAUGUUCCAGAAGGACUGAAACAAUUCACAGAACUUCAAAAAUUACUAAAUUUGAGAAUUAACAGUAAAUUAAUUUAUGAAUACUCUAGAAAAACAUGCAUCAUAAUGAAAAAGUGCUAAAUUUUAUAAAGCAAUUCAAAACUGGGAGAGAAAAAAUUGUUCUUAUAGUAGACUACAUAACAUUGUUAUACUUAAUGUUCAAAGUGAAUUUAAACAAUAUACAUUAGCCAAGAAAAACAAAAAAUGUAAUAGUAUCUCAUAUAUCCAAACCUAACCUGGCACAUUAGUAGCUUCUACUCAAACAUUUCAACAUUUGUUAACUCUUUAUUUAUAUAUAAAGUACACUCAAAACCAGUCUCUAUCAAUUACUAAUUUUAAUACAAUUGUACAUUAAUGCUGUAGUGAUCAACCUUUCACAAUGUUUUCAUGUCUAUUUUUCAACUUUUGGCACAAGGCAAAAUUGAAAAGUAUACAUAUUAUUACAAUUAUGAAAGUAGAAAACAAAACUGACACAGAAAAUCUUGCCUUAAAGUACUGCUAAUAAUAAUUAAAACACAGGUCACAGCACAGGAAAAAGUAAUGUUGUGAUAUAAUGGUACUUGUUUCAGAAUCCUGAUAAUUUUCUUGAUUUCUACAGGGUUAUCUUUCCAGAAAAUCUCAAAAAGGGCAUUUUUAAGUUUAUAGUUACCAUUCACAUUACCAGUAAUACAUAAAGAACUUGAGAUGUUUAUUUAUAAUCACAAUAUUAAAAGAUAUAUAGAAAACCACUCUCCCCUGAACUUUUCCAUCCCAAACCUCUUUUCAAUCUCAUUGGAAAAAAAAUCCUCCUCUUUCACUUAUUAGUCAAAGAACAAUAAGAUAACAGUAAAAUCACAUAUAAAUGUGGGAAUUAAAACAGCUAUUUCAUUUGGUACAACCUUUUAUCAACUACUUUGCUUGAAGGUUUAUUUUAAAGGUUAGAAGUGGAUUGGAGCUGGGGGUUGGGAGGAUGGGUGUUGAAAGGAACUUUUGGUCACAAAAGAAACUAAAGAAAGUCUAGGCAACAAAACUUGUUUCUUCUAAAAUUCCAAGAGCAAGUUAUAAACAUAGUAUUUCUAUACAGAAUAGAAUACUAUUCAGAUACAGAAUAGGAUUCUAUGCAAAAUAGGAUGUUUCUGCUUAGUUUCUUUUCAGGGAACAUUUUAAAGAGUGAUCCCAUUUUCCAUUAAACACUGAACUUUUGGAAUGUUUCAAUAGCAAUUUUUUUUAAAGGUACCAUGAAAAGACUAAAUAAGUUAUUCCUAUGAAAUUAUAUUAGUUGACCCAAAGCCAAGAUUGUAAUUAUGUUCAUCAGUUUUCAGUGAGUAAAUACUAAUAUUGUCUGUGGGGUAAUUAUUAUUUUACUUUUCCACUUUCCCCCUCAAAUCACAAGAGUUAAUUAUCACAUUUACUGCACAACUAUUUAAAGAUUAGUUAUUGUGACAAGUAUCCACUCUGAUAGAUAAAAAAAUCAUUUUGUCAUCAAUCAACUUCUUUUCAUUGAUAACUAACAUUCUGGUUUCUCAAAGUGUAUUUAGGUCAAAGAAAAAUUGGCAGAAAGGGCCUUUAUCUAACUUAUGCAGCAAUGUUAACUAAAUUAAAUUUUUUUGAGCAAAAAUUAAAUUUUGUGUGUUUAAACUUUCCUUUAUAACUUCUUUCUGCAGUAAUUUUGCAUUUUGGCCAAAGAGAGCUAUUUCCUUUUGGCAGGCAGAUUACUCUUCUGGAAAGAAACCAGUGAUUCAGAACUGCAGAAUUUGUCUUCUUUUGAGGAGAGUAAUAAAUGGAGCAAUGAUUUUAUUUUUUGGCUUAUUUUUUACCACCCAUGUUGAUCUUUUUCAUAAAAUUCAUGAAAUGAAAUUUUAAAUGUGACCACAGUAUAUAUCAGUUAGAAGAAGAUAUUCUGUUUCUGACCAAUUUCCCAAAAAAACGUUUCUGACCAAAAUGAAUUAAGUAUUGUCUUGUCAAAAAGCUUUCAGUUAAAAAUCAAACUCUGAAGUUGAGAUGGAAUGUUAAAACUUAAUGGCCAAUUGUACACUACUGGGUUAUUGGUCAUGUUUUAGACAAACAAUAUUUUUAUAAGACCUAGAAGAAAAGACUAAUAAGUGACAGCUGUUGCAAGAUGAAGCAAUAAGAUUAUGUAAAUAUCCUUUUUAUAGCAAUAAGAAUGAGGCACAAACUGGUAUUUACUCCAAACAAUAGAAAAUGUCAUCAAAUUUUUGCCUCUAUUAAAGAAAAAAAAAGAGCAAUGUUC